This 364-nucleotide long non-coding RNA is filed under the name Brassica napus (rape). RNAcentral describes it as "long non-coding RNA (BNAP_LNC017062)". The record is from RNAcentral. Lineage: Eukaryota; Viridiplantae; Streptophyta; Magnoliopsida; Brassicales; Brassicaceae.
UUAUUAAAGAUUAAAGGUUUGGGGUUAUAAUAUAUGGUUAUAGUUUGAGAUAUAGUUAGGGUUCAAAGUGUGAUAGAAAUUUAUUUUAUUUAAAAUUCAUUAUAUGUGUUAAAUUUUCUUUUGACAUAUUACUAUAAUUUACUUUAAAAAGUUUAGGAUUUAAGAUUUUAAUUUACUAAAAAUUAUGGUUUAGGGUAUAGUUAGGGAUUACAAUUUUCUACGAAUAGCUACAAAACAUGUUGUGGUUAUAUAUUUCUGCGAAAAUCUUUGUGGCUAAUAGUUGGUUUUGAUUUCUACGAUUUAUUUUGUAGCUAAUUGUAAUUCAAUUUCUUCAAAUAUCCACAAAUUAUAUUUUGUAGCUAUU